GGUAUUGCGAAAUGUUACUGCUGUUUGAACAAUCCUUCUUGGCCCAAUAUUUUCUCAUUGUUCAUAUAUUGAUAGAUAAAGAAGGAAUACUGGAAUACUCUCUGUUGAUGUCCUAAGUUUGCUCUCACUUCCUUGCUUGCAAAUACUUUCUCCCUCCAUCUUACAUGUCAUCUUUAUCUUGCUUUCUAGUGCUUCUUUCAUUUAAUUUUUGCUUUGACAAUCCUAAUGUGUUUAACUUGCUCUAUUAUAAUAUCAUAUGGUCAGUAAUUUUCUUCUACUUAAAAUUAGAAAAAUGUUGCUAAGGAUUGUUGGAACAGUUUACAUCUGAAUUUGAUGAAUGUCUUCUUCUAGGUUUGGGAUUACACUGGUUUUGGAUAUACAAGGUACAAUGCCAGAGACAUUAACAAAGAAAUACUAGGGUGUCAUUGUUAAGAGGAUAUAAAUCAGACAGGAGACCUGCAAACUUGACAAUGAUGGCAAUUCUGGAUGGCUUCAGAAGGCAUAUUCCGUUGAUUUCAGACCACUCAAUGUACCGCGCGCUGCUGCAUUCCAAGGGGCUCAUUAUAUUUCACCAUUGAAAAGGCAAAUAAUCUCGUAUGCAUCUGGUAACCAAGCUUGUACACUCGUUUAAGGAAGGUUCGGAGGAAUGGUCCAAGAAGGCGGUAGAGCUUGAGGAUUCAUGAAGACUUUAGACGUAAGUUCUAUUUGUAAUUUAUUUAUCCAACAAUGGCGAAUGAUGCACAGUACACUAAUUCCUCUUGUGAACAUGCAGUUUGGUUGUGGAAUUUCAAAAUUAUCUGUUUGUCUUAUGUCUUCAUGCAUGCUGGACGCGAAUGGAAGGUGUAUGGGGUGGCAAAGAUGGUCUUUGGAAACAAUGACACAGAAACUAGAAAGUCUUUGCAAAGUGAUAAUGGUGGUAAAAAGUUGAUCAUUUUCUUGGC
Non-coding RNA from Sesamum indicum (sesame), 941 nucleotides. The record is from RefSeq and is a predicted model, not a curated record. Lineage: Eukaryota; Viridiplantae; Streptophyta; Magnoliopsida; Lamiales; Pedaliaceae.